GGGCUACACACGUGCUACAAUGGAUAGUACAAAGGGUCGCGAAGCCGCGAGGUGGAGCAAAUCCCAAAAAACUAUUCUCAGUUCGGAUUGUAGGCAGCAACUCGCCUACAUGAAGCCGGAAUCGCUAGUAAACGUGGAUCAGCAUGCCACGGUGAAUACGAUCCCGGGCCUUGUACACACCGCCCGUCACACCACGAGAGUUUGUAACUCCCGAAGUCGGUUGGGUAACCUUUUUGGAGCCAG
This 243-nucleotide ribosomal RNA is filed under the name Listeria monocytogenes. RNAcentral's name for it is "partial 16S ribosomal RNA". It matches the Rfam family "Bacterial small subunit ribosomal RNA", at positions 1211 to 1452 of the family's 1533-position model. Lineage: Bacteria; Bacillati; Bacillota; Bacilli; Caryophanales; Listeriaceae. The record is from RNAcentral.